RNAcentral lists this ribosomal RNA (484 nucleotides) under uncultured bacterium. RNAcentral's name for it is "bacterial SSU rRNA". It matches the Rfam family "Bacterial small subunit ribosomal RNA", at positions 30 to 507 of the family's 1533-position model. The record is from RNAcentral.
UUGAACGCUGGCGGCAUGCCUUACACAUGCAAGUCGAACGGCAGGCGGACCGUUCGGGUGCCGGCGAGUGGCGAACGGGUGAGUAAUAUAUCGGAACGUACCUUCAGGUGGGGGAUAACGUAGACGAAAGUUACGCUAAUACCGCAUAUUCUGUGAGCAGGAAAGCAGGGGAUCGCAAGACCUUGCGCUGAUUGAGCGGCCGAUAUCAGAUUAGCUAGUUGGUGAGGUAAAGGCUCACCAAGGCGACGAUCUGUAGCGGGUCUGAGAGGAUGAUCCGCCACACUGGAACUGAGGCACGGUCCAGACUCCUACGGGAGGCAGCAGUGGGGAAUUUUGGACAAUGGGCGCAAGCCUGAUCCAGCCAUGCCGCGUGAGUGAAGAAAGCCUUCGGGUUGUAAAGCUCUUUCGGCCGGGAAGAAAUCGCACGGGUUAAUACCCUGUGUGGAUGACGGUACCGGAAUAAGAAGCACCGGCUAACUACGUG